Molecule: ribosomal RNA, 253 nt
Filed under: uncultured bacterium
Lineage: Bacteria
Description: partial 16S ribosomal RNA
Rfam family: Bacterial small subunit ribosomal RNA
Source: RNAcentral
UACGUAAGGGGCAAGCGUUGUCCGGAAUUAUUGGGCGUAAAGAGCGUGUAGGCGGCCAGAUAAGUCCGCUGUGAAAUCUCGAGGCUCAACUUCGAGCUGUCGGUGGAAACUAUCUGGCUAGAGUCCGGAAGAGGAGUGUGGAAUUCCUGGUGUAGCGGUGAAAUGCGCAGAUAUCAGGAAGAACACCUAUGGCGAAGGCAGCACUCUGGGACGGUACUGACGCUGAGACGCGAAAGCGUGGGGAGCGAACAGG